UACGUAGGGAGCAAGCGUUAUCCGGAUUUAUUGGGUGUAAAGGGUGCGUAGACGGGUGAUCAAGUCAGAUGUGAAAUCCCCGGGCUCAACCUGGGAACUGCGUUUGAAACUGGAAGGCUUGAGUGUGGCAGAGGGGGGUGGAAUUCCACGUGUAGCAGUGAAAUGCGUAGAUAUGUGGAGGAACACCGAUGGCGAAGGCAGCCCCCUGGGCUAACACUGACGCUCAUGCACGAAAGCGUGGGGAGCAAACAGG
This 253-nucleotide ribosomal RNA is filed under the name uncultured bacterium. RNAcentral's name for it is "partial 16S ribosomal RNA". It matches the Rfam family "Bacterial small subunit ribosomal RNA", at positions 524 to 776 of the family's 1533-position model. The record is from RNAcentral.